GACGAACGCUGGCGGCGUGCUUAACACAUGCAAGUCGAACGGAAAGGCCCUGCUUGCAGGGUGCUCGAGUGGCGAACGGGUGAGUAACACGUGGGUGAUCUGCCCCUUACUUUGGGAUAAGCCUGGGAAACUGGGUCUAAUACUGGAUAGGACCAUGCUGUAGGUGGUGUGGUGGAAAGAUUAGUUUCGGUAAGGGAUGAGCUCGCGGCCUAUCAGCUUGUUGGUGGGGUAAUGGCCUACCAAGGCGUCGACGGGUAGCCGGCCUGAGAGGGUGGACGGCCACAUUGGGACUGAGAUACGGCGCAGACUCCUACGGGAGGCAGCAGUGGGGAAUAUUGCACAAUGGGCGAAAGCCUGAUGCAGCGACGCCGCGUGGGGGAUGACGGCCUUCGGGUUGUAAACUCCUUUCAGCCAUGACGAAGCCCUUGUGGUGACGGUAGUGGUAGAAGAAGCACCGGCUAACUACGUG
RNAcentral lists this ribosomal RNA (469 nucleotides) under uncultured bacterium. RNAcentral's name for it is "partial 16S ribosomal RNA". It matches the Rfam family "Bacterial small subunit ribosomal RNA", at positions 28 to 507 of the family's 1533-position model. The record is from RNAcentral.